This 771-nucleotide ribosomal RNA is filed under the name uncultured Neocallimastigales. RNAcentral's name for it is "partial large subunit ribosomal RNA". The stretch from base 4 to 661 matches the Rfam family "Eukaryotic large subunit ribosomal RNA", at positions 24 to 664 of the family's 3401-position model. Lineage: Eukaryota; Fungi; Neocallimastigomycota; Neocallimastigomycetes; Neocallimastigales. The record is from RNAcentral.
GUACACGCUGUGACUAGCAUAUCAAUAAGCGGAGGAAAAGAAACUAACAAGGAUUCCCUCAGUAACGGCGAGUGAAGCGGGAAGAGCUCAAAUUUGAAAUCUUGAAAGGUCACCUUUCACGAAUUGUAGUUUAAAGAAGUGUUUUCUGUUACGAUCGUAAUAUAAGUUCUUUGGAAUAGGACAUCACAGAGGGUGAGAAUCCCGUCUAUGAUUGCGAUUUGUAGCUUUGUGAUACACUUUCAAAGAGUCGGGUUGUUUGGGAAUGCAGCCCAAAACGGGAGGUAAAUUUCUUCUAAGGCUAAAUAUUGGCGAGAGACCGAUAGCGAACAAGUACCGUGAGGGAAAGAUGAAAAGAACUUUGAAAAGAGAGUUAAACAGUACGUGAAAUUGUCAAAAGGGAAGCGUUUAACACCAGUGUUGUUUUCUGAAAAUCAACCUCUGUUAGCUUUAUGCAUGUUUGUUUAGACCUAAUCAGCUAUCUUUCAUGUUCUAUUGUUUGCAGUGGUGCACUUUUCAGUUUACAGGUCAACAUCAGUUUUUUUUACCGUAAAAAAGUUAAAGAAAGGUAGCUCAUGGCUCCGGUCGUGAGUGUUAUAGUCUUUUUCCUAUGCGGUAGGAGAGACUGAGGUCUGCAGUGUAGGCUAUUUGGCUAGAUACUCAGGUGCUAUGUGAUACCAUUUCAUAAACAACUUGUUGAUUAUGUUUUGUCUAUUGCAUACUCGCUUGUACUAUCAUACCUACGCUUAGGAUGUUGAGUAGCGACAUACGCAC